CCAGUCUCCAAUAUUCUUAAAUGCCCAAAGUUCUAUAGCCAAUUUCAUGUCUAGGUGUUAGAGUUCCCUAAGGACCUCAAGGAUUCGGGGCACUACUCACACCUAGGCCUUUUCUCAAACAAUAAUUGAUUUAGGUGUAAUGUGAAAAGGCCAGCUCUGACAUACCAGAGUUUAGAGAUAUCUCAAGGAUCGCAAGUCAGUACACAUAUCGUAGGGAUAGAACCUAGUAUUCUAAGAGUGAAAUGCGAGUGCUUGACAUAACUUUGAAAAGGUUUUUGAAAAUAGUAUUGAGAUGGAUUUAGGAGUAAAAAGGUUUUCAAAAAACAAGAAAUAGUUUGAUAGUAAAGAUAGUUUGUGAAG
This 360-nucleotide long non-coding RNA is filed under the name Nicotiana benthamiana. RNAcentral's name for it is "long non-coding RNA (NBEN_LNC002867)". The record is from RNAcentral. Lineage: Eukaryota; Viridiplantae; Streptophyta; Magnoliopsida; Solanales; Solanaceae.